RNAcentral lists this ribosomal RNA (463 nucleotides) under uncultured bacterium. RNAcentral describes it as "partial 16S ribosomal RNA". It matches the Rfam family "Bacterial small subunit ribosomal RNA", at positions 28 to 507 of the family's 1533-position model. The record is from RNAcentral.
GAUGAACGCUGACAGAAUGCUUAACACAUGCAAGUCGAUGGGGAAGUGGUGCUUGCACCAUGGCAACCAUGGCGGACGGGUGAGUAACGCGUAAGGGACUUACCUGCAGGACUGGGAUAACAGGGGGAAACUCCUGACAAGACCGGAUAAUGUCAUGGAGCUGCAUGGCUUUAUGAUGAAAGGAGACGCCUGCGGAGAGCCUUGCGUCCUAUUAGCUAGUUGGUGAGGUAAUGGCUCACCAAGGCGAAGAUAGGUAGCCGGCCUGAGAGGGUGGACGGCCACAAGGGGACUGAGAUACGGCCCUUACUCCUACGGGAGGCAGCAGUGGGGAAUAUUGGACAAUGGGGGCAACCCAGAUCCAGCAAUUCUGUGUGCACGAAGAAGGUUUUCGGAUUGUAAAGUGCUUUCAGCAGGGAAGAAGUAAGUGACGGUACCUGCAGAAGAAGCGACGGCUAAAUACGUG